This 497-nucleotide ribosomal RNA is filed under the name uncultured bacterium. RNAcentral describes it as "partial 16S ribosomal RNA". It matches the Rfam family "Bacterial small subunit ribosomal RNA", at positions 28 to 507 of the family's 1533-position model. The record is from RNAcentral.
GAUGAACGCUGGCGGCGUGCCUAAUACAUGCAAGUCGAGCGAACAGACGAGGAGCUUGCUCCUCUGACGUUAGCGGCGGACGGGUGAGCAACACGUGGAUAACCUACCUAUAAGACUGGGAUAACUUCGGGAAACCGGAGCUAAUACCGGAUAAUAUAUUGAACCGCAUGGUUCAAUAGUGAAAGACGGUUUUGCUGUCACUUAUAGAUGGAUCCGCGCCGCAUUAGCUAGUUGGUAAGGUAACGGCUUACCAAGGCAACGAUGCGUAGCCGACCUGAGAGGGAGAUCGGCCACACUGGAACUGAGACACGGUCCAGACUCCUACGGGAGGCAGCAGUAGGGAAUCUUCCGCAAUGGGCGAAAGCCUGACGGAGCAACGCCGCGUGAGUGAUGAAGGUCUUCGGAUCGUAAAACUCUGUUAUUAGGGAAGAACAAAUGUGUAAGUAACUAUGCACGUCUUGACGGUACCUAAUCAGAAAGCCACGGCUAACUACGUG